UACGGAAGGCAGCAGUGGGGAAUAUUGCACAAUGGGCGAAAGCCUGAUGCAGCUAUGCCGCGUGUAUGAAGAAGGCCUUAGGGUUGUAAAGUACUUUCAUCGGGGAGGAAAAAACAAAACUAAUAAUUUUAUUUCUUGACGUUACCCGAAAAAGAAGCACCGGCUAACUCCGUGCCAGCAGCCGCGGUAAUACGGAGGGUGCUAGCGUUAAUCAGAAUUACUGGGCGUAAAGAGCACGUAGGUGGUUUUUUUAAGUCAGAUGUGAAAUCCCUGGGCUUAACCUAGGAACUGCAUUUUGAAACUGAAAAUACUAGAGUAUCGUAGAGGGAGGUAGAAUUCUAGGUGUAGCGGUGAAAUGCGUAGAUAUCUGGAGGAAUACCUGUGGCGAAAGCGGCCUCCUAAACGAAUACUGACACUGAGGUGCGAAAAGCGUGGGGAGCAAAACAGGGAUUAGAUACC
RNAcentral lists this ribosomal RNA (459 nucleotides) under uncultured bacterium. RNAcentral's name for it is "bacterial SSU rRNA". It matches the Rfam family "Bacterial small subunit ribosomal RNA", at positions 340 to 786 of the family's 1533-position model. The record is from RNAcentral.